Molecule: ribosomal RNA, 517 nt
Filed under: uncultured bacterium
Lineage: Bacteria
Description: bacterial SSU rRNA
Rfam family: Bacterial small subunit ribosomal RNA
Source: RNAcentral
CUACGUGCCAGCAGCCGCGGUAAUACGUAGGUGGCAAGCGUUGUCCGGAAUUAUUGGGCGUAAAGCGCGCGCAGGCGGAUUGGUCAGUCUGUCUUAAAAGUUCGGGGCUUAACCCCGUGAUGGGAUGGAAACUGCCAAUCUAGAGUAUCGGAGAGGAAAGUGGAAUUCCUAGUGUAGCGGUGAAAUGCGUAGAUAUUAGGAAGAACACCAGUGGCGAAGGCGACUUUCUGGACGAAAACUGACGCUGAGGCGCGAAAGCCAGGGGAGCGAACGGGAUUAGAUACCCUGGUAGUCCACGCCGUAAACGAUGAGUGCUAGGUGUUAGACCCUUUCCGGGGUUUAGUGCCGUAGCUAACGCAUUAAGCACUCCGCCUGGGGAGUACGACCGCAAGGUUGAAACUCAAAGGAAUUGACGGGGGCCCGCACAAGCGGUGGAGCAUGUGGUUUAAUUCGAAGCAACGCGAAGAACCUUACCAGGUCUUGACAUCCCUCUGACCGCUCUAGAGAUAGAGUUUUC